AUACGUAGGUGGCAAGCGUUGCUCGGAAUGACUGGGCGUAAAGGGCGUGUAGGCGGUUUACACAGUCAGAUGUGAAGUCCCCGGGCUUAACCUGGGAGCUGCAUUUGAUACGUGUAGACUAGAGUGUGAGAGAGGGUUGUGGAAUUCCCAGUGUAGAGGUGAAAUUCGUAGAUAUUGGGAAGAACACCGGUGGCGAAGGCGGCAACCUGGCUCAUUACUGACGCUGAGGCGCGAAAGCGUGGGGAGC
This 247-nucleotide ribosomal RNA is filed under the name uncultured bacterium. RNAcentral's name for it is "partial 16S ribosomal RNA". It matches the Rfam family "Bacterial small subunit ribosomal RNA", at positions 523 to 769 of the family's 1533-position model. The record is from RNAcentral.